This is a non-coding RNA of Durio zibethinus, 2933 nucleotides long. The record is from RefSeq and is a predicted model, not a curated record. Lineage: Eukaryota; Viridiplantae; Streptophyta; Magnoliopsida; Malvales; Malvaceae.
AAUAAAGAACCGUAGAAGCGCUUCUCGAUUCUUAGUUUCUCUGAUAUUCUUUGCGCGUGGUUUCCAUUUCUCUCCCUCUCCUUCUUUCUGGUAAGAUCUUCGAUUACCUCUGAUUUAUCUUGGUCAGAUCAGAUCCGCCCAAAGAAGCACAAAAAUUUUAAGUUCUAGGGAUUUUGAUUGUCAAUUCUUUUAUUUGUUCUUCUUUUUUUUUUUUUCACUCUGAUUAAUUGCCAUAACUCAAAUCUACGGUGUAAUCAUUGCUUUGCUCGUUUUUAUUGAUUAAAGUUGUAAGCGUUGUCGGUAAAUCUAGGGUUUAUACAUUUAGGGAACCCUAAAGGAAAAAGGAAAGUAAUUGAAUUUUUGUGAUUUGUGUGUUUGAUUGGGAAUUUUGCUUGGUAUCUGUCUUGGGUUUUGAAUUUUUUAUUGAGAAGAGCUGUGUGGUUCUUGAUUGGUAUGGCGGCAGGGCGAGUAGAUGUUCCAAGGAGAAGUGAUUUUGGGAAAUUGAAUUGGGGUCAGACUCAUGCUAUUCCCGAUAAGAAUGGUUACAAUUACCCAUCUAAUGGGAAGAAUUUGGUUAUCCAGCAUAAGAAUGGGUACGACCUGGGUCCUAGGCGAUAUGGGUUAGAGGCUGUUGUGAGAGUUAAGAAUGAUGUAAGGAGGAUAUUGGAUGGUGGGGUUCAACAGCCCCCACAGAAAAAGAGGAAGUUUUCCCCUAUUGUGUGGGACAUGGAAGAGAAGGAAGUAAGAAUUUCGUGUAGGAGCAGAGUUGCAUCAACAGCUAGCUCGCUGUCAUCUUGUCCUUCACCUUGCAAGUUGUCAAAUACUGUUUCCAAUCAGGUUUUCAAGAAGCAACAAGUCUCUGCAAAUCUGAUUGAGGAAGUGGAGCAUAUGCUUCCAAAGUCUCAAGUGUCUGAUUAUGCUGUUUUAUCUCCUUCACUGCCUGGAAAUUUAUGUCACGAUGAUGAUCGAGAAAAAGAUUUGAUGGGAAAAGAAAAUGUUCAAGCACUUAACAUAUUCACUUCACGUUGGGCAUCUGAUAGCGAUGAUGAAGAUGUGUCUCAAAGUGAGGAAAAGAUUAGGACGAGUUCGAGUCUUGAGAGUGGAGAGUUUGAAAGAGAGGAUUCUGAAGGAGAUGGGGUACUAUCUAAUGAAAGAAGCAGCAGUGUAUUGUCUGCUUGCGAGGAUGAAGAUAUGGAAUGUCAAUUGGACUCUAAUGGUGUGAUGGACAUUGAUGACAUGUAUGAUGAAGAUGCAGUUGUUGACCAGUCGGAUUUAGAUGUUGAAGAACCAGCAGGAAGAGGUAUGAACAUGCUUCUGGGUUGUAGAAAUGUUUUUGAAUAUGAAAAAUUGAACAAAAUAAGUGAAGGUACUUAUGGUAUUGUUUAUAGAGCUAAGGAUAAGAAGACGGGUGAAAUUGUGGCUCUGAAGAAGGUAAAGAUUCUUGACCAGAGAGAUUCAGAAGAAUAUGGUUUCCCUUUGACCUCACUAAGGGAAAUUAACAUUCUUGCAUCUUUUCGUCAUGCUUCAAUUGUCAAAGUUAAAGAAGUUGUUGUAGAUGACCAUGACAAUGUUUACAUGGUUAUGGAGUACAUGGAACAUGACUUCAAGGGGCUAAUGGAAUCUAUGAAACGACCAUUUAGCCUAAGUGAUGUUAAAUGCUUGAUGCUACAGUUAUUGGAGGGUGUCAAAUAUCUUCAUGAUAAUUGGGUGCUCCACAGGGAUUUGAAAACAUCCAAUCUUCUCUUGAACAACCAAGGUGAACUAAAAAUAUGUGACUUUGGUAUGUCUCGCCAAUAUGGAAGCCCUUUGAAGCCAUAUACAACUAAGGUGGUUACUCAGUGGUAUAGAGCACCUGAACUUUUGCUUGGAGCAAAGAAGUAUUCAACAGCAGUUGACAUGUGGUCUGUGGGCUGUAUAAUGGCUGAGUUGUUAGCUAAGGAAGCCUUGUUCAAAGGGACAAGCGAGAUUGAUCAGCUUCGCAAGAUAUUUGAUACUCUUGGUACUCCAAGUGAGAAGAUUUGGGCUGGUUUUUCUGAAUUACCUGGGGCCAAGGCAAAUUAUUCUAAGCAACCGUAUAAUUUGUUGCGUAGGAAGUUUCCUGCGGUAUCUUUCACAGGAUCUCCAGUUCUUUCUGAUUCUGGAUUCGACCUGUUAAACAGGCUUCUUACAUAUGAUCCUGAGAAGAGAAUAACAGCAGAUGAUGCUCUUAAUCAUGACUGGUUCCGUGAGCUUCCUCUUCCAAAAUCUAAAGAAUUCUUGCCUACAUUCCCCCCAAAAAUGUGAAUGGAACAGGUGCCUGUUCUGAUUAUGAAAGCUGGACAGAUGCAAAAAACACAUUUAGGCUGCAUUUUUAGUUUACAGUCAGCAGUUGCUUAAUUUUGUUCGAAUGACUCUUAUGGUAUAUACAAGCAAUCAUGAAGGAUCGGAAUCCAAUGCAGCGGUGGGUAUACUGAUAUUUGGGAGCCAACAGCACUGGUCUUUCCUGCUCGUGGGCAGUAAGUUUUGCACACUCAAAGAUGCUUUGGAAAUGAAUUAAUUUGAUCUUCUAACUUGUGAGAUUUUUGUUUCUUUGUUUUCUUAUCUGUUUCGAGUGUUUAGCAGUGCAGGAGGUUUUCCGACUGCAUGCAUUUGCAUAGUCAUUUAGCGUUCAAGUAAGAUGCUAUAUUAUUGUUGUUAUAUCAUAUUAUCUUGUACUUUAGUGACUUCUACCCUGACAACGACUUAACUAUCAGUUUUAUGUAAAUUAUGACUAAGAAUUGAUAUUUUCUAGCGAUGGGAUGGUGACAUUGAUGAUGCACAGAAAGUUCUGAUUAACAUGCAGAUGUUACUGCUGGAGAAAAGAUAACAGAACCACUAGUGUUGGAGGCUUGUUCUCUUCUCUUCUUUUUCCUUUUUUUCUUUAUUUCUUUUAUGUUUUCUUUGUCAUGAUUGAA